CCGGCGACCGGCGCACGGGUGAGUAACACGUAUGCAACCUGGCCGUGACAGAUGGAUAACCGGGAGAAAUCCCGCCUAAUACAACAUAAUGCCGGGAGGGGACAUCCCCUGCCGGCCAAAGGGGGCGACCCCGGUCACGGAUGGGCAUGCGGCGCAUUAGGUAGUUGGUGGGGCAACGGCCCACCAAGCCGACGAUGCGUAGGGGUUCUGAGAGGAAGGUCCCCACAUUGGAACUGAGACACGGUCCAAACUCCUACGGAAGGCAGCAG
RNAcentral lists this ribosomal RNA (269 nucleotides) under uncultured bacterium. RNAcentral's name for it is "partial 16S ribosomal RNA". It matches the Rfam family "Bacterial small subunit ribosomal RNA", at positions 88 to 354 of the family's 1533-position model. The record is from RNAcentral.